GACGAACGCUGGCGGCGUGCUUAACACAUGCAAGUCGAACGCUGAAGACCUGGCUUUUGUUGGGUUGGAUGAGUGGCGAACGGGUGAGUAACACGUGAGUAACCUGCCCUCUUCUUUGGGAUAACGCCCGGAAACGGGUGCUAAUACUGGAUAUUCACUGAUCUUCGCAUGGGGGUUGGUGGAAAGGUUUGUUCUGGUGGGGGAUGGGCUCGCGGCCUAUCAGCUUGUUGGUGGGGUGAUGGCCUACCAAGGCUUUGACGGGUAGCCGGCCUGAGAGGGUGACCGGUCACAUUGGGACUGAGAUACGGCCCAGACUCCUACGGGAGGCAGCAGUGGGGAAUAUUGCACAAUGGGCGAAAGCCUGAUGCAGCGACGCCGCGUGAGGGAUGGAGGCCUUCGGGUUGUAAACCUCUUUCGCUCAUGGUCAAGCCGCAACUGUGGGUCGUGGUGAGGGUAGUGGGUAAAGAAGCGCCGGCUAACUACGUG
Molecule: ribosomal RNA, 486 nt
Filed under: uncultured bacterium
Lineage: Bacteria
Description: partial 16S ribosomal RNA
Rfam family: Bacterial small subunit ribosomal RNA
Source: RNAcentral